Caenorhabditis elegans is the source of this 128-nucleotide non-coding RNA. The record is from Ensembl. NCBI's taxonomy places the organism in Eukaryota, Metazoa, Nematoda, Chromadorea, Rhabditida, Rhabditidae.
AGAACUCUUUUUCCGACAUGGAAACUAAGCGGGGGGAAAAGGAAGAAAGUUGUAAAAGUUUGGAGUGAUGAAUCAUCGAAAGCGAAAGAAGGGGAGAGUUAGAAGCAGAGAUACAGAGAAAUGGCGGC